UACAGAGGUCUCAAGCGUUAGGCGGAAUCACUGGGCUUAAAGCGCGUGUAGGCGGAUGUCUAAGUACCUUGUGAAAUCCCACGGCUCAACCGUGGAACUGCUUGGUAUACUGGAUAUCUUGAGCAAUCCAGGGGCGAGCGGAACAAACGGUGGAGCGGUGAAAUGCGUAGAUAUCGUUUGGAACGCCAAUGGUGAAAACAGCUCGCUGGGGAUUUGCUGACGCUGAGACGCGAAAGCCAGGGGAG
RNAcentral lists this ribosomal RNA (245 nucleotides) under uncultured bacterium. RNAcentral's name for it is "partial 16S ribosomal RNA". It matches the Rfam family "Bacterial small subunit ribosomal RNA", at positions 524 to 768 of the family's 1533-position model. The record is from RNAcentral.